CCUACGGGAGGCAGCAGUGGGGAAUUUUGGACAAUGGGCGAAAGCCUGAUCCAGCAAUGCCGCGUGAGUGAAGAAGGCCUUCGGGUUGUAAAGCUCUUUUGUCAGGGAAGAAACGGUGAAGGCUAAUAUCCUUUGCUAAUGACGGUACCUGAAGAAUAAGCACCGGCUAACUACGUGCCAGCAGCCGCGGUAAUACGUAGGGUGCAAGCGUUAAUCGGAAUUACUGGGCGUAAAGCGUGCGCAGGCGGUUUUGUAAGUCUGAUGUGAAAUCCCCGGGCUCAACCUGGGAAUUGCAUUGGAGACUGCAAGGCUAGAAUCUGGCAGAGGGGGGUAGAAUUCCACGUGUAGCAGUGAAAUGCGUAGAUAUGUGGAGGAACGCCGAUGGCGAAGGCAGCCCCCUGGGUCAAGAUUGACGCUCAUGCACGAAAGCGUGGGGAGCAAACAGGAUUAGAUACCCUGGUAGUCCACGCCCUAAACGAUGUCUAGCUUAGUUGGUCGGUUAUUAUGUCGUUAGACGCGAGUACACGNGUAGAGUACGCCGCGGNGGGAGUCGCGAGAGUAAUAACAGAAAGUAGUACGCGNGAGAGAGACGACGACGGACGACGACGGAGGGAGGAG
RNAcentral lists this ribosomal RNA (618 nucleotides) under uncultured bacterium. RNAcentral describes it as "bacterial SSU rRNA". The stretch from base 1 to 540 matches the Rfam family "Bacterial small subunit ribosomal RNA", at positions 338 to 873 of the family's 1533-position model. The record is from RNAcentral.